This 253-nucleotide ribosomal RNA is filed under the name uncultured bacterium. Its description in RNAcentral is "partial 16S ribosomal RNA". It matches the Rfam family "Bacterial small subunit ribosomal RNA", at positions 524 to 776 of the family's 1533-position model. The record is from RNAcentral.
GACGGAGGAUGCAAGCGUUAUCCGGAAUUAUUGGGCGUAAAGCGUACGUAGGCGGCUUAUCAAGUCUGGGGUCAAAGACCACAGCUUAACUGUGGAAAGGCCUUGGAAACUGGUGAGCUGGAGUGAGGUAGGGGUUGCGGGAAUUCCCGGUGUAGCGGUGAAAUGCGUAGAUAUCGGGAAGAACACCUGAGGCGAAAGCGCGCGACUGGGCCUUAACUGACGCUGAGGUACGAAAGCUAGGGGAGCGAAUGGG